UACGGGAGUGGCAAGCGUUAUCCGGAAUUAUUGGGCGUAAAGCGUCCGCAGGCGGACUGUCAAGUCUGCUGUUAAAGCGUGGAGCUUAACUCCAUUUCGGCAGUGGAAACUGACAGACUAGAGUGUGGUAGGGGCAGAGGGAAUUCCCGGUGUAGCGGUGAAAUGCGUAGAUAUCGGGAAGAACACCAGUGGCGAAGGCGCUCUGCUGGGCCAUAACUGACGCUCAUGGACGAAAGCCAGGGGAGCGAAAGGGAUUAGAUACCCCUGUAGUCCUGGCCGUAAACGAUGAACACUAGGUGUCGGGGGAAUCGACCCCCUCGGUGUCGUAGCCAACGCGUUAAGUGUUCCGCCUGGGGAGUACGCACGCAAGUGUGAAACUCAAAGGAAUUGACGGGGGCCCGCACAAGCGGUGGAGUAUGUGGUUUAAUUCGAUGCAACGCGAAGAACCUUACCAGGGUUUGACAUCCUGCGAAUCUCUUGGAAACGAGAGAGUGCCUUCGGGAACGCAGUGACAGGUGGUGCAUGGCUGUCGUCAGCUCGUGUCGUGAGAUGUUGGGUUAAGUCCCGCAACGAGCGCAACCCACGUCGUUAGUUGCCAGCAUUCAGUUGGGCACUCUAGCGAGACCGCCGGUGAUAAACCGGAGGAAGGUGUGGAUGACGUCAAGUCAUCAUGCCCCUUACAUCCUGGGCUACACACGUACUACAAUGCUACGGACAAAGGGCAGCAAACUCGCGAGAGCUAGCAAAUCCCAUAAACCGUGGCUCAGUUCAGAUCGUAGGCUGCAACUCGCCUACGUGAAGGAGGAAUCGCUAGUAAUCGCAGGUCAGCAUACUGCGGUGAAUACGUUCCCGGGCCU
Molecule: ribosomal RNA, 857 nt
Filed under: uncultured bacterium
Lineage: Bacteria
Description: SSU rRNA
Rfam family: Bacterial small subunit ribosomal RNA
Source: RNAcentral